UCCCUGGUAGUAUAUCGGUUAGUACACGCGCCUGUCAUUGCUGACUUAGAUGUUACGAUUGCGCGCGAAAGCUGGGUUCGACUCCCAGCCAGGGAG
Molecule: non-coding RNA, 96 nt
Organism: Gymnopus androsaceus JB14
Lineage: Eukaryota; Fungi; Basidiomycota; Agaricomycetes; Agaricales; Omphalotaceae
Source: the annotation of a GenBank genome assembly